GGCCCCUUAGCUCAGCUGGAUAGAGCAAGUUAUUUCUAAUGACUCGGUCGCUGGUUCGAAUCCAGCAGGGGCUG
Non-coding RNA from Myxococcales bacterium 68-20, 74 nucleotides. Lineage: Bacteria; Pseudomonadati; Myxococcota; Myxococcia; Myxococcales. The record is from Rfam.